GUGUCAUGUAGGAGUACACCCAACAUUUCUCUGCGAUCUUACACUCUGUUCCACUUCCAACAGGCCUAAAUUUAACCAGUACCUGGCGGAGAAGAACCAAGCACGCUUCUGUCAAGAAUACCCCAGAUCUCCUAGGAAAUCAUCUCCCAACAGCCUUUUCUGACUUGUAUCUCCUCCAUUUGUUCUCAAAUUCUGCUACCCAGAUGGAAAAGAGGGAAAUCGAGAAGAAGCCUGGACAACCUUUAUUUCUGACCAUUUCUGUGAUAUGAGGCUCAACAGUAUUUGGCAACAAACCUAUCCAAAAGAGAAAUGUGAAAGGUGAAAACAAGGAAGCCCAUGACAGAAAAGCCUAAAAAAAUAAGAAAAACAAAACAAACCAAUAUAAGUGGACUGCAAGGAAGAAAAACUGUCCAUCAUCCAGGGGAGGGUCAAUUAAUCAGUGUAAGAACACAUGCAAAGUGUGAAACAAUGAUGGUAGCAGCUCAAGAUCAAAAUGCAUUGUCUCCAGAAUUUUAAAAAGGACAACCUAGAGACAUAUACCCAGACAAAGUAUUCAUGAGCUAAAUAACUAGCAUAGACAGACAG
Molecule: long non-coding RNA, 585 nt
Filed under: Phascolarctos cinereus (koala)
Lineage: Eukaryota; Metazoa; Chordata; Mammalia; Diprotodontia; Phascolarctidae
Description: lncRNA (ENSPCIG00000036367.1)
Source: RNAcentral